UUUCCGUAGGUGAACCUGCGGAAGGAUCAUUAAUAAUAAGUGUGUUAUGGCACUUUUUUUAAUCCAUAUCCACCUUGUGUGCAAUGUCACUGUGGAUUGUCCUCUCGAUGGUGUCAGCCUGAAACAUCGACCAUAUCUCAACUCUUUGUCUGAGAAAUAUUAUGAAUAAAACAAUACAAAAUACAACUUUCAACAACGGAUCUCUUGGCUCUC
Molecule: unclassified non-coding RNA, 213 nt
Filed under: plant metagenome
Description: partial contains small subunit ribosomal RNA, internal transcribed spacer 1, and 5.8S ribosomal RNA
Source: RNAcentral